UUCAGUGGCUGCGUCUUCUCCAGAGACAUAAGAAUCACACAGGCCUGCAGCAGCGGCGCCCGGCAGGGAACCCGCCGCGUGUCAGGCUUGGCCGCCUGACCGCCCUGCAGCCUCCCCCAGCGCACAGGCCUCCAGCUGCACACCAGGCCCUGCCAUCACCUGGCCCUGCCCUCCUCAGUCCUGCCUUCACCUGUCCUGUCCUCACCCAGCCAUGUCUCCUGGCCUGACCCUACCCUCGCCCAGCCCUGUCCUCCUCACCUGCCCUGUUCCUCACCCAGCCCUGAUCCCCUACUGGCCCAGCUUUUGCCAGGCCUUGUCCUGCUACCUGGCCCUACCCUCACCUGACCCUGUCUACCUUGGCGCUGUCCUCCUCACCUGCCAUGUGCUCCUUGGCCAGGUGUCCACCCUGCAGGUCUUCCCUCCAU
RNAcentral lists this long non-coding RNA (425 nucleotides) under Marmota monax (woodchuck). Lineage: Eukaryota; Metazoa; Chordata; Mammalia; Rodentia; Sciuridae. The record is from RNAcentral.